GUGUACGCAAAGUAGAUCAGUUGAACAUAUACAUAUACAUAUAUCCAUUGUUUUUCAGAUUCUUUUCCCAUAUGGGUUAUUAAAGAAUAAUGAAUAGAGUUCCCUGUGCUAUACAGUAGGUCCUUUUUAGUUAUCUAUUUUAUGUACAGUAGUGUGAGCUUUGUUAAUUCUGAUUGUGAAGCAAGGUGAUCACUGACAUGUUCUUACAGGGGACAGUUUUCCAGUUUUGAAGAGACCUGUUGGGAUAAACACAUUCAAGAUAAUAGCGCUGGGACAGGACAAAAGCCACUUCAUUGUAAAAAUGCCUUCAACCUGAAACAUUCUGAUGGACCUGUGCACGAACAAUGGACACACACUGCCUAAUGUGGGAUGGAAGAGUAGCUGGUGGACCGCGGCAUUCUCUGGAUUCAUGGUAAGAAAUUCACCCUCCCUCCGAGAAGUCCAUCAGUUAAUAUUAACAAGCAGAAAGAGCAAGAACCACUUGGCAGGAAGCUCUGAAUUUCCCCCAGACUCUGAGUCAAGAGGUCAUCAAGGAAGGAGUCUGGCUGUAAAGUACACCUAUCUUCCUGUGAUGAGAGUGACGACCGGGGUGACUGGAAUCAGAGUGUAGCCUGCCCUCCUUUGGCAAACAAACACCCAC
This 640-nucleotide long non-coding RNA is filed under the name Bos mutus (wild yak). RNAcentral's name for it is "lncRNA (ENSBMUG00000024276.1)". The record is from RNAcentral. Lineage: Eukaryota; Metazoa; Chordata; Mammalia; Artiodactyla; Bovidae.